This 86-nucleotide transfer RNA is filed under the name Candidatus Hatepunaea meridiana. RNAcentral describes it as "tRNA-Ser". It matches the Rfam family "tRNA". From Rfam's summary of the family: Transfer RNA (tRNA) molecules are approximately 80 nucleotides in length. Lineage: Bacteria; Pseudomonadati; Candidatus Electryoneota; Candidatus Electryoneia; Candidatus Hatepunaeales; Candidatus Hatepunaeaceae. The record is from RNAcentral.
GGAGAGGUGUCCGAGAGGCCGAAGGAGCACGCUUGGAAAGCGUGUGUAGCUUUUUGUUACCGUGGGUUCGAAUCCCACCCUCUCCG